UACGGAGGGAGCUAGCGUUGUUCGGACUUACUGGGCGUAAAGCGCACGUAGGCGGCUUUGUAAGUUAGAGGUGAAAGCCCGGGGCUCAACCCCGGAAUUGCCUUUAAGACUGCAUCGCUUGAAUCCAGGAGAGGUGAGUGGAAUUCCGAGUGUAGAGGUGAAAUUCGUAGAUAUUCGGAAGAACACCAGUGGCGAAGGCGGCUCACUGGACUGGUAUUGACGCUGAGGUGCGAAAGCGUGGGGAGCAAACAGG
RNAcentral lists this ribosomal RNA (253 nucleotides) under uncultured bacterium. Its description in RNAcentral is "partial 16S ribosomal RNA". It matches the Rfam family "Bacterial small subunit ribosomal RNA", at positions 524 to 776 of the family's 1533-position model. The record is from RNAcentral.